This 43966-nucleotide long non-coding RNA is filed under the name Hordeum vulgare. RNAcentral's name for it is "long non-coding RNA (HVUL_LNC014470)". The record is from RNAcentral. Lineage: Eukaryota; Viridiplantae; Streptophyta; Magnoliopsida; Poales; Poaceae.
AGCGGCGGAACAUGUGUGUACUGGCCCGAGAGCAGAUUCGGGCGACCCAUGCCAUGGUCGGACUGUCAUCCAAGGAGGAGAAGACGGAAAACGAUGGGUCGGACAGCUCCAGCAACAAGUAGAUUCGGCUCGAUCCGUACGGUGUCUUUGACUGCUACUUCUGCAAAAGGGACGGCAAAGACACCAGGAAGGGCAAGGACGGCCGUGGAUGUACUUCUCCAUAGCUAGCAUGUAGAUUAAACAUGUCAAAUUUGGGUACUCCAAUGGUACUUUGAGAUGUAGUAGUUGAAUGAUAUGUGUAAUGCAUGGUUUACAUAGUUGCGCGAAUUCAUAUAAAUAUAAGGUAUGCUAGUUAAGAUAUCCGGUUGUGAGAAGAAAAAUAAUUGCAUGAAUUCAUAUAAAUAUAAGGUAUGCUCGUUAAGGUGUCCGGUUGUGAGAAAAAAAAAUAUGUGGAUAGAAAGUGACUAGGACGUACUCGGAUGCGUUUGUGGGCUUUUGACGGGCCGGAUUUAUCAAGUCCAGCUUUAAAUCCUCUCAGAUUACUGUGCAACUAAUAAUGUGAGCAGCAUGUAUGUAUCAUCUUCCUCGUCAGAACCACGUCACGGGAGAUGGACAUACAACAACUCACACCGUCACACGGAAUGCAUGCAUGCACCUGACUGCCAACUCCGCAACCACCCAUCAGCGAAGCCAACACGAUUCAAACGCUUAUAUACACGUGCAUAUAUUUACUUUUAUAAACGCACAUACGUAUACUAAUCAUAUUGUUGAUGAUGUUAUUGCCUUGUGUGGCAACGUGGUCUCUUCUCACUGUGCUCAUGCAUGACGCGCCACCGAACAGUACGUACCAACAUGUUUAAGUGUUUAGAACAUCUUUAAUAGAUGAUUUAAAUAUACAAGUACUACAUUUUACAUCAUUAAGGCAUAAAAACGAUGAUUCAACAGAUGAUGUAAAUGUAUGAAUUUUACAUCAUCUGAUCCAAGUGAUAUAAAAUACAACACUUGAAGAUGCAAUUUUGCACCUUCAACCGUUGGAGAUGUAAACACAGAUGCAAAAGGGCCAACCGUGCGCCCACCCAACCGCCACCAUGAAAGUUCCCAACUGCUGAUCUUUUUCGAAGUCCUUGCACAACAAAUUUAGGAAAAACGUACACAUUACAUUUCAUGUUUAGGAGUCCUCGCAUGCGACACCUGAUUUUGUUCAAACAUUUCGGCCGGAUGAGAUCGACUUUGAUCAUAAUUCACACUGAAGAUCAGAUUUCAUCGUCAAUUAAAGGUUAGUUCUCUUGGGCGGCUUAAAAAUUAAGAUGCCUCUCACUGGCUUAAAAAAUAAGUUGCCCUCUAAGUUUGUUGAGAUUUCUAAAUUAGUUAUCGCAUAACUAUUUUAGAAGCCUCAAUAAAAAAUAGAGGCGGCUUAUGAAAAAAGUUGAGGAGGGCCGGCUUAUUUUUUAAGCCGUCAAAAAAACUAACUAUAAUUAAUGAACAGUCCGUGACUUGUGGUCCUUGGAGCAAUAGAAUACCAGUGUGAUGAAUCACUAUUGGGCACGCCAAAAUUUUAGCAACGGCAGGUUCACCAGUAUUACCAUUUUGGCCAAUAGCUUUUAUACAGAUGAUUGAUUGUUGAAGUUUUGCUUGACAACAUUUUCGUUGGUUACUGGUCUAUAAUAUUAUCACAUCCAUGAUUAUUUUACGAUUGUGUCUAAACUUUAACAAUGCAAAAAUAACGUACAUUUAGUCGUGAAAUAAAUAAUAAUAAAGUAAAAAAGUUUAAUACAAAUGCAUUAGUAGGUUGGAAGUCUGCUUUAAACUGUCUCUUGUCUAGUGUGCGCAGUGACAGUCUUUGUCCCGGCCAGACGUGACUCCUCAAAAAAUAGAAGUCAUGACUAGUUUCAACUUUCAACUCCCCACCAACGAUAAAAUGUUGCGAAUUCUCGUCAUCAAGGACUGUAGAAAAGGGAAGGUUAGGCAUCUUCAACAUCGACCCUUAAAUUGUCUGCAUCUUUUGAACCAUGCGGACUAGAGCAUGGAAGUCAUCCAAUGUGCGUCUAUAUCGAUCCGUCAAGCGGUCUUGGACCUGUUUUUUCUCACACACCCGAGAUAAACGUGUGAGGGGAGGCUUUGUGGACGUCCGAACAGCAGCUAUGCCCUCUUCUGACCGCCCUGGGCCCACCAAAAAUCUCCUCACUCACCCGCAUGCGAUUCUGUCCGACGCUAGCUGCCCGCAUUAAUGCCGUUGUAGAGCGGUCGCUCCACAUUGAAACCAGUCCAGAGCGGAUACGACUUCUCACUAGCUCCACCAUUGAAACAACGCACUGACCGAGGGCAACUAUAAUCAACUUGUAUGCAUGCAAUGUUUGUUGCCAACUAAUUAAACUAUAAGCCCGCAAAAAAACUAAUUAAGAUAUAGCCCCAAAAUAAUGUCAUCUUUCUCUAUUUGGCAUCUUUCCAUGUGUUGCCAAAAUUUGGUGGCGAACUAUAGCCAAGGGCAAAACCGUCCUCUCACAUCUCACUUAACUCCUCCUACUGCUAACAUAAACUGAAGUGUCACAUAGGAAAAAAAUCAUCAAGCCACAAAAAACAUAAGAACAAUUGAAUAUUUAUAUACAAUAAAAAAGAUACAUGGACAUGUGAGGACAAAGGAAUAUUAAUGAAGAUAUAUAAAUAUUAUCAAAGAUGUAUAAAUUAGUACAUAAUGAGGUGAAGCAUGAAUGUAUAACAACAUGCUCCCGCUUACGUCUCCUUUUUACAUGUGAGGUAAGAAGGUAAGAGUUAAUAUGACCGUUAAUUAAUAAGAUCAACGAUUCUGAAUGUGAAAACCAUUAUAUACUCUUACCUCUAAUGUGAAAAGAGGGGGUAAGAGGGUGCAUGUUAAAAGGGCGUUGAAUGUGGAAACUAUUAUAUACUCUUACCUCUAAUGUGAAAAAAAGGGUAAGCGGAAGCAUGUUAAAACAGCUCUGAAUGUUUAUUUCUACAUACUGAUGCUCAAGAAAGUUCUAGUCUAACUAUUAACUUAAAUUAUGAGGGAAAUGUCUCGUGGAGAAGAAACAGGCUUGCCUUGAAUGACAUGAUGCUUCCUAGGAGGUGCAUUAAUUACAAAACCAAUUUCCAAACCAUCUGUGACAGGCCAAAGACCAUCAUCUUUCCCACAUUUUUUUUCGUAAUUCUUCUAGGGCUUUCUUGUUGCUUGAACCCCACUCCCAGAAUAUUCAUUUACAAACCAACUCGGCCCAGCUCUCUCCUGGGAUAUAUUUCGACAGCAUAUUUAUUUUGAAUAUAAAAAUUAUAUAAUGAGAAGGUUAUUGUCAUAUUAUAUCAUAAAAUCUUCAUUUCAUCACAUGUUACAUGCAACAGAAAGAUAAAGAAAUGUCCGCUCUAAGUAAAACAAGCAGCCUCUAACAAGCUCUCUUAGGCGGUUUACAACACCGAAACCGCCUCCAAUGAGCUAACAAACUAUUGGAUGUGGUCCAUGUAGAAUCCGCCUCCUAUUCCAAAGUAUUCUUAGGUGGUUUCAAUAUAUAAAAACCGCGUCCCAAAGUAUUAUAGGUGGUUCAAUAUAACCACCUUCGAUAUGUCCAGUGCCUACCUUAUAUAACCCAUACUUCUUCACGGAACUUUAUCCACUCGUAACUUUGUUUGACCCAAGUUGGUGCCUAAUGUCACUGUUUAUUCUGCACCGCCAUCUAGUUAUAAAAAUGUCGGCGGGCAUCUUGUCCGAUCCACGAGAGUGAGGGCGUGGCUAGGGGGCACAUGGGGUAGUUCAUCACCUUUGCCGUGGUAAUUUGCUUCUUAUUUCCAAUUGGUGACAUGAAGUCAAACUUGCGGUUGCCAACAAGUUAGUGCAACUAGUGAUGUGCAUUGUCCAAUGGAUCCCUCCGUACUUUAAUCUAGCUACUAGCUAGAUCCGAAUUCCUUGUUGGAGUUGUCGUACGGACGCAUGAACAGGAGUGUAGGUUCGCAUCUUUAUUCUUCGGAUCGAGUCGAGAGCGGGCCGAUGGCACCUAAGAUGGUUGUAUCUGGUGCACCGAGGCAAUUGGUGCUACCGAUGCACCGGACCUCGUUGCACACUUUAAAAUGUCUGAAAAAUUCAAAAAGAAAUUAAUGCAUUGACACAACAUUAAUGUAUAUUGUCACAAAAAUUUAUAUCAAAAUUUGAAACAUUGAUUGAGAUAUAAAAAUGAUAAACUCAAUACUGAAUACUCAAGUAGUAGAUAACACAAGUUGGGCUUCAGAUUUGACACGUUAGCACAUUGAUGCCGAAUUUUUCAUUUUUAUAUCUCGAGCAAUAUUUUGAAUUUUGAUUUGAUUCANNNNNNNNNNNNNNNNNNNNNNNNNNNNNNNNNNNNNNNNNNNNNNNNNNNNNNNNNNNNNNNNNNNNNNNNNNNNNNNNNNNNNNNNNNAUUGUGUUAAUGUACUAAAAAAAUUCUUAAAUUUUUUCGAACAUUUGUGCACCGGUAGCACCAAUAGCCCCGGUGCACCAUAUAUAUCCCCUGUAACUGGUUGCCUUAAUUCCUGUUGGUCAAAGCAAACAAGCAAGCAACAAAGUUCCAUAAAUGUGAUUAGAUGGACAACAACAACUGAAAUGGACUCGUGCUCAUGGCACCAACCGUGAAAGAGUUGUGGAUGUGCGUCCGUUGAGUCUUUCAGUCUGAUCUGGUCUAUUUUUAAGUCUAGAGCUAACAGUUAAUAAAGAGAACAAAGCAAGAAAGAGAGAUUUGCUUUGCCUUUUUCACUUGUGUCGGCACAACCUUCAACCCCCUCUUUCAACCGUCCAUUGAUUCAUUGCCAACACCUCCACACAAAAAAAACGUAGAUGAGUGAAGUGCUCUUUUGAUCCCAAGCACACAUGCCCCUUGAUAAACAGUAAAAUACAGAAAAUAGUUGAAAUUCCAAAAGAAAAAAUCUGAAAUAUGGAUUUUAUUUUUAAUUUUUUUAAAAAGGUUCAUCUGCCGAAAAUUGCUCGGAAAUUUCAAAAACUAUUCGUGCUUUCGAAAAACAUUCCAAACUGCAAAAGGCGUUCAUGAUUUCAGAAAUUUUUCACAAAAAUAUGUUUCAGUCCUUUAAAAAUGUAAUUAUGUUUCAGCACGCAAUGUCUUUGUUCAAAAAUUUCAUAACUAUUUCAAAAAUGUUCUGGAUUUCAAAAAAUGAUUAUGUUUUACAUAAUUGUUCACAAAUUGAAAACAUGUUCAUAAAUUCCAAAAAAUGUUCACGUUUUCUCAUUCUUUAGGUGUUUCAAAAAAUACUCUAGUUCGAAAUUGUAAACAAUAUACGUGUUUUUUAAUUUUGUUUGAAAGAUUCAAAAUAUGUUCAAGUUUCCAAUUUUUGUUCUUAAAUUUCGAAACAUAUUCCCGUUUCAAACAAAAUGGUCAUUAUUUGUAAAAAUAAUAAUUAUGUUUGUCGAAAAUAUUACUGCUUUUUAAAAUUUGGUCACAGAUUGAAAAGUUGUUCACAGAUUCCAAAACAUGUUCAUGUUCUCUUAUUCUUUAGGUACUUCAAAAAAUGUUCUAGUUAAAAACUUUUUCAAAAUUUAUAAAAAUAUUCAUGUUUUUAAAUUUAGUUUAGAAGUUUCAAAAUAAGUUUUAAUUUCCAACUUUCGUUCAGGAAUUUUAAAAAACAAUCACGUUCCAAUAAAAUUGGUCAUUGUUUUUCUAAUGAAUUCAAAAUGUUUUGUUAAAAAGUUCUACAUAAAAAAUGUUCGCGGAUUUUUAAAAACGAUUAUAUGUUAUAAAAUAUGUUUAUGUUUUGAAAACAUUUGUUUGUGUUUUCAAAUAAUGUUCAAUUUCCAACAAAAAUGUUGGGAAUUUAAAAAACAUUAAAAAAAUCUAUUGUUUUUACGUUUUCAUAAAAAUGUUCAUAUUUUAUAAUUUGAUAUAAUCUUUAAGAAAGCUUGUAUUUUCAGAAUAUAUUCGUGAAUUUCAAAAAAUGUUUGACGCUUUUCAAAAAUUGUUUACUAUUAUUUCCCAAAUUUAAAAACAAGAACUUUAUUUUUAAACAUUGUUUCUAUAACAGAAAUGACCUUAUUUCGAAAAGUUUGAAUUUUCAGGUUUGUUCGAUUUGUUCAAACAAUUCUCAGAUUUUGAAUUGCUUGCUAGUUGCUUAUGCCAUUAAUAUGAGUUAAUAUAUAUUUUGAUAGUUAUUGUUGACAUGGUUACUUAUAAUCCUUGCUGGAAACUUGGGUGCUACUUAAGCUUAUUUAUGUAAACAAGAGCAAAAGAGUUUGUAAAAGUUUUUAUUUUUCACUUUCAAUUUAUCAACUGAAUUGCUUGAGGACAAGCAAAGAUUUAAACUUCGGGGAGUUGAUAUGUCUCCGUCGUAUCUACCUUUUCUGACGCUUUUACUCUUGUUUUGGACUCUAAUUUGCAUGAUUUAAUGAAACUAACCCGGACUUACGUUGUUUUCAGCAGAACUACCAAGGUGUUGUUUUUGUGCAGAAAUAAAAGUUCUCGGAAUGGAACGAUACUUUUUGGAGAAUUUUUAUACAAUAAAAGAAGAAUACUAGAGCCAAGAACCAUCGGAGGGGGUCCCAGGGGGAGCACAACCCACCAGGGUGCCCCCCUCCUGGCGCGCCUAGGUGGGUUGUGCCCACCUGGUGGCCCCGCUGACCUUAUCUCUGACGCUAUAAAAUCAUAUUUUCAAAGAAAAAAGCGAGGAGGAAGAAUUAUCUUGUUUCGCGAUACGGAGCCAUCGCCACCUCAUGUUCUUCAUCGGGAGGCGAGAUCUUGAGUUCGUUUGGGGCUCCGGAGAGGGGAAUCUUCGGUCUUCGUCAUCACCAACCCUCCUUCGCUAACUCCAUGAUGCUCCCCACUGGGAGUUGAAAGGAUCGAUAUGGUUGACUAGAGGGGGGGGUGAAUAGGCAACGACCACUUUUUAAAUAAUCUUAGCAAGUUAGGGUAAACAACAUACGGGUUCACAAAUAUAACAACAAUGGGGUGAACCGUAAUGAAGCUAACAACGAGAGCUACUAAGACAAGUAAGAGAUAGACAACAACAUAAGCAUUCACAAAGUAAAGGUUAGAGAUAACCACAAGUGGAACCAAUGAAGAUGAGGAUAUGUUACCGAAGUUCCUUCCCUUUGACAGGAAGUACGUCUCCGUUGGAGCGGUGUGGAGGCACAAUGCUCCCCAAUAAGCCACUAAGGCCACUGUAUUCUCCUCACGCCCUCGCACGAUGCAAGGUACCGUGAUUCCACUAUAGGUGCCCUUGAAGGCGGCGACCGAACCUUUACAAACGAGGUUGGGGCAAACUCCACAUAAAGCUUGGAGGCUCCCAACAAGACCACGAAGCUUCACCACAAUGGAAUGUGGCUUCGAGGUGACCUCAACCGUCUAGGAUGCUCAAACACCCAAGAGUAACAAGAUCCGCAAGGGAUUGGUGGGGGAAUCAACUUUUCUCUUGGUGGAAGUGUAGAUCUAGGCCUUCUCAACCAAUCCCUAAAGAAUCAACUAGAUUGAUUGGCUAGGGAGAGAGAUCGGGCACUUUUGAGCUUAGGGAGCAACAAUGGAGCUUGGGAGGAUAAGAGAUAGGGUUCCACAGCUAGAAGAACCCCUUAUAUAGUGGGGGGAAUCCAACCGUUUUCCCACUCACAGCCCGUGCCUGGUGGUACUACCGCUGGAUGCAGCGGUACUACCGCUAGCACUCCAGCGGUACUACCCCUAGCUGCAGCGGUACUACCGCUGGGCCCAUGGUAGUGCAUAAGCACUACCGGGCCAACCACCGCCAAGAAAGUCUUCGCAAAAAGGUCCGUCCAAGUACAACCGCUAGGAAGGCGGUACUAAGCUCCUGGAGCGGUACUACCGCUGACCAGGGGCGGUACUACCGCCAGCUAGCGGUACUACCGCUAGCACUCCAGCGGUACUACCGCUAGGGCCAGCGGUACUACCGCUGAGGGACCAUUUGCAAAGAAGAGAGAAACACAAGGCGGGAGCCACUCCAAAGUUGCCGGCAAGGGGGAAAGGAGGUGAAGUGUGCGCGUGCAGGAUUGAUUCCACCCAAACCUUUCCACUACGGUUCCCCUCUUAAUAGCACGGCUUUCCUAUGACUCAAAUAAAGAGAAUCAUAGAGUACACCAUGCUUCUAUUCCAUGAAAGAGGGGGCGAGUCGUCUUGUGCCGUUGACGUGUGUUAUCUGAAAUCGUAACACACACGGUUAGUCCUUUGCGGUACUGUCAUCAAUCACCAAAAUUACUUAAGCAUAAACUAUGCCCUAACAAUCUCCCCCUUUUUGGUGGAUUGAUGACAAUACCGGAUUUGCACAGUGAAUAACAUGUGAACAAAAAGGUAGAGAUAUAUGAAAAUAAGGAGCAUAUGACUCACAGCAUAUGAUGGAAAUAAAUCUCACACUAGUUCAUGUCUCACAUCACACAAAGCAAAGAUAGCAAAAUAGAAGCAAACCAAGUUCGAAGCAAACACGAAAGAUAAGCAAAGUUCAACUCUCAAAUCAAAAUCAAAUCCAGCUCCUAGACUCUCUCUCCCCCUUUGGCACAAGACACCAAAAAGGGGUACACCUAACGACACAGGUGGUCACUCCUCAUCCUCAUCAUCCCCAGACUCGUCCGUAGCAUCCGGAUUGUCCUGCUCCUCUUCAUUGUCCUCCUCCUCCUCUGCAUCAGACCACUGGUAACCUUGAGCCUGCAUCCAAGCAGACUCUGGAGUGAUGUCGUCCUUUGAUCCGCUGGAGAUGUCAACAUCAAGUGUCCUCACGACACGCUUGUGCCUCUGACGGUUCUCUUCUGGGCCACGUGCGUGUGAUAUUGUCCCUUAGUCUGCAUACAGAAGAGAGUCUUCAUCUUAUCCUACAGUUUCACGGCCCAAGAUGGCAUGGCAGAAGAGCGGGACUGAGAAGCGGUUCCUGUGUCAGCAGCAGUCUCUGUGUCAGUGUCCAUGUGAUGUGAUGAAGUUGAUGGGUUGGCCCAUUUGUCCUUGAUGCGGAGCUUGAUAGGAUCGUGCACAAAGUAAUCAGCCUGAAGGUGGAACUCCUCAAGCGGAUAGGUGUCUUGCCACUUCUGACGAAUAUAGGCAAACAAGUAGGGCCCGUAGAUGGAAACCUUGCGCAUCAUGAUGCAAUUCCAGAGCUCAGUGAACAUCACAUCAGAAAUAUCAAGAGGGGCAGACUCCUUAGUCAUAGCCUCCUCACAAAGCAGAAGCAUCUCAGCCAGAGAGCCGUGUACCUCGUCGAAGUUGCCAAUGCGAGGAAAGAGGGUGUUGCGGAAGAUCCGAUGCAUGAUAUCCAGAUGCCUGGGGAGCACACCUUUCUUCACAUAGAGUUGCUACAACCUGUCCUUGGCGGGGCCCUAUCAGUGGGAGCUGCAGCAUGAGGACGCGACCCAAGUGGAGUGUCAGCUCCCUCAAAAUCAAUCUUGAGAAAUGCCAUGAAUUCACGCCAGGAACCUGUCAUCUUCUCAGUCCCAGUCAUCCAAACCAGGGAGCGGUCGUCAUCAGGCGAGAAGUGAACCGUGACAUAGAACUGGGCAACAACAUCUGGAUCAAAGUCUUUCUUGAAGGAGAUGAUCUCCUUAAUGCCCAGCUUGUCAAUCAGAGAGAGAACAUCACCGAAGUAAUCCAGGUUCUGCUGAAGGUGAGCCAAGUCAAUGCACUCAACGGGAACAAAACUCUUCUUGGAAUGCUUGAUGAUGUCACGAUAGAUCCUGCAGUGAUCCGUUGCCCAAACAUGCUCGACAUUCCUGAUCACAGCCGUCUCUUGGAGAUAGUGAUUUUGGUUGCGGAACCGCAGAAAAUCCUUAGGGGGCAUAGUGCGAACGUUGACCCCCUUGUCCUUGUGAGCGGCCUUCUUGAAGGCCUUCUUUUUGGGUUGCAGACCUGAAGUGGCGGAGCCCUCUGGAGCCUCUGGAUUGCGAUAAUUCUUUGACCGUGUGUCCUGUGGGGGGUUCGAGCGGCGAGCACCACCUGUGACACAAAACACACACCGAAAAAGAGCGACAGAAGGAGUCAAGGCAAUGAACAAGAAGAGGCAUAAGAGUAAACACUCAUUGCCAAGCAAAUGAAAAGAAGAAACAGAGUAUCCUCCUGGCGGUAGUACCGCUACCCCUGGUGGUAGUACCGCUACACUCAUUGCCAAACAAACGCGUGAUGCUCACAAUAAUUCCAAAUCUGUUGACGGGCGGAUACUCCCCUUUUUAAACUGCCAAGUACAUUCUUCAUAAGAUGUGACUUGACUCUCAGCUUGUUCACAAUCUUGGCUGCUCGACGCUCCAAGAGUUCUUCAUUGGAUAACUGGGGAGCAUCGACUUGUUUACUUUGCUUGCCCUUGCGUCUUGAGCCUCCCUUGGCACCGGCUGUUGGUGCUGCAGAAGGGAAUUGUGAGACAGUAUCCUGAUCAUCUUGACUUUCGAAUUGAGCAGGUUCACUUGUUUGUCCUUGUACUUGUGGUUGCUCUUGAUCUUGAUCUUGUGCUUCUACUUGGUCUGGAUCUCGUGGUUGCACUUGAUCUUGAUCAUGAGCAGGUUCGGAGCCUUGGGUGAGUGCUUGAAUAUCAUGGGACACAUCAUCAUUGUUGGGCAAUUUAUCUUGACCUUGAGCUUGUUCAUUUUGUUGAGAGUCUUCUCUUUGUUCAUCGGAAGCAUGUGGGGCUUGUGGGGGUGAUGGCUCCAUUUGAGUAGAGCAUUGUCCUUCUCCUUCGUCCACAAGGGGUUCCUCAAUGGGGAGUAUUUGACCAAUCCCCAUUCUUCUUAUGGCUUGGGGAGGAAUUUCAUCACCUACAUCACAAAGACCACUUUGCUCCACUUGGGAGCCAUUAUUUUCAUCAAACUCCACGUUACACGUCUCCUCAAUGAGUCCGGUGGACUUGUUGAGGACACGGUAAGCAUGAGAGUUUGUAGCAUAACCAACAAAGAUGCCCUCAUGUGCUCUAGAAUCAAAUUUAGCUAAACGUGCACCUUUCUUGAGAAUGAAACACUUACAGCCGAAUACCCGGAAGUACUUGAGAUUGGGUUUGUUUCCAGUUAGAAUCUCAUAUGGAGUCUUGUUCAAGCUUUUGCGGAUAUAGAGCCGACUGGACGCAUGACAUGCUGUGUUGAUGGCCUCUGCCCAAAAGUUAUAUAGAGAUUUGAAUUCCGCCAUCAUUGUUCUUGCAGCGUCUAUCAAUGUCUGGUUCUUCCUUUCUGCCACGCCGUUUUUUUGAGGGGUAUAUGGUGCUGAAUAUUGAUGUUUUAUUCCCUCAUCACCUAGAAACUCAUCCAAGGUGUAGUUCUUGAACUCGGUGCCGUUGUCACUUCUAAUCAUCAAGAUCUUUGCUUUAUGUUGGCGUUGAGCUUCAUUAGCAAAGUUGAUGACAGUUUGUUGAGUUUCACUCUUCCUUUUGAAGAAAUAUACCCAGGUGUAUCUCGAGUAGUCGUCAACAAUCACCAAGCAGUACUUUCUGCCUCCAAGACUAUCAAAUGAUGGAGGGCCGAAAAGAUCCAUAUGGAGGAGCUCCAAUGGCCUCUUAGUGUAGAUGAGAGUCGUUGGAUGAUGAGCGGUUUCAUGAAUCUUUCCUUCAAUGCAGGCACUGCAAGCACGAUCUUUAGCAAAACUCACAUUUGUUAGUCCACGAAUAUGGUCCCCUGUUAGAAGACUUUGCAAAGAUCUCAUAUUGACAUGAGCUAAUCGGCGAUGCCAAAGCCAGCCCACAUCAACUUUAGCCAUUAAACACGUCGCGGUCUUAGUGGGUCGCUUUGAAAAGUUCACCACAUAAAGACCAUUUUCGACAUAUCCAACAUAGGCUACUUUAAGAGUCUUGCUCCACAGUAUCAAGAUUAAAGAAUGUGGAAAAACCCAUAAUUGCAAGUUGACGAACCGAAAGUAAAUUGUAGGCAAGUGACUCAACAAGCAUGACCUUCUCAAUAGAUAACUCUUGAGAGACGACCACCUUACCAAAUCCCAAUACCUUUGACGAGGAUGCAUCGGCGAAUUGGACAUGGGUGGGCAUAGAUGGAGAAGGAUGCACAUCCACCACUAAGUCCUUGCUUCCGGUCAUAUGAUUUGUUGCUCCACUAUUGAGCAACCAUGACACCCCACCGGAAGUAAACUCCUGCAAUAGAUCAAGGCUUGGUUUUAGGUACCCAUUUUUUAAUGGGUCCUUUCAUGUUAGAGACAAGGGUCUUAGGAACCGAGAUAGCCCACUCAAUGUACUCAUAGUAGGAACCAACUAAUCUGGCAUAAACAUGCCCAUCACUAGCACGACAUAAGACAUAAGAAGAAUUGAGUUUGUCGGCUAUGUUAGUAGGAAUGGUUUUGCCCUUCUUGACGUUUCCAUCGUCCACCUUGUUCAUGUUCACCUCCUGAGUCCCCUCACCCUCUUUGACAAAGAUGUCCAUGAGGGUAGGAGAUCGUUUGUUCCUGUUCCUCCUUUUACCUUUUGACUUGGAGGUAAGUCCAAGUCCCUCCUUUCCUACAACACCUUUUUGAGUGCUCAAGAGGUCGUUCAGGCUCUUCUCACCUUGUAUGCAUGCCACAAGGCCCUUCUCAAGUUUCUCCUUUAACUUGGCAUUUUCUUCCACAAGAUGUACAUGCUCACAACAGGGAUUAGUUGCACAAGCAUUAUCAAUUAACACAAAGGGAGGACAAGUAGAGAUCUCCUUGGUAAGCUUUGCUUGGAGUUGAUCAUGAGACUCUUUCAGAGAGAAAUGAACACCUUUCAAGACCUUGUGGGCCUUGUCAAGUGUGUCAAACUCCACUUUGAGUCUGUCAUGGCCAACCCCAAGAGCAUACUUUUCAGACUUAAGCAUACGAGUAAGAACAGUAUCAUGAUCUAGUUUCUUUUGCAUUUUAGCGUAGUCAUCGUUAUAUGACUCCUCAAGAACCAAACGAAGAGUCCGCUCCUUUUCUAGAGCAAUAGAUAAUUCAGAAAUUUCAUCGGCAUAGUCACGACUGUGUCCCUGAAGCUCGGAGAUGAUCUCCUCAUGAGACUCAAUGAGGUCAUUGGCCUCACCUAGUUGUUCCAAGAGAGCAACAAAGUGCUUCUUGGAUUCUCCCUUAAUAGUGCACAGAAACUUGUCAAGAUCAUGCUCAUUAAGUUCCCCAACAUCACUAUCAUCAACACAAUUUAACAAUGAAGGAGCAGUAGCGAUGUUGGUCUUAAUGAUGGGGGUUACCUGAUUGAUACCUUUUGCCAUGAGGCACUUGGUGAUGUGGUUCUCAUUGGGGGCGUUGAAGAGAGACACCUUCUGGGGAGAGGUAGUGGCAAUAGCAACAGUUGCCGUUGCCACUGUAUCAUCAUCAUCAUCAUCAUCGGAAGGGUACUCUUCAAGGGCCACCAUCCCUUUUGGGUGGGGUUUCUUCACAAAGUUGUUCUUGAUUGGAAAUGAUUUGGUUUUGUCUUUGCGAAUGAGCUUGCCCCCGUUGUCUUCCCUUUUCUCAUAGGGACAUUCGGCCACGAAGUGGCUCACGUUACCACAGUUAUAACAUGUUCUCACUCAUUCCUUGGGUUUGAACCCACUUGAGUUGUUCUUGGUGAAGGUGGGUCUUGAGUUCCUCUUGUUGCCCCAGAAUUGCCUUGACGCAAGAGCCAUGUGCUGAUGAUAGGCAUACUUUGUGUCUUCAGGGCAGCUCUCCUCUUCCUAAUCCUCUUCUUCUUCUUCAAACAUUGCUUUUGCUUUUAACGCAAGGUUGGGUGAAGUUGUCUUUGAGCGAACACGAGCAAGUGCAUUGUCAGCUGUUUCGUUCAUGAUUGAUAUUGCAAUAAAUUCAUCCAACACCUCACUGGAAGACAAGGAGUGGAAGUCUGGUCGCUGACGAAUGACAGAUGACAUGGCUUUGUUGAAAGGCAUGAUGGCUUUGAGAAACUUGCGCUUGACCCAUGUAUCAUCCACAUCCUUGCUCCCAUGAUCCUUGAGUGCCACAGCAAUAGCAGUCAUCCUCCGAUAGAGAUCACGAGGGUCCUCGUCUUCCUUCAUCACAAACUCAUCGGCCUUAUCAAGUAUCACUUCAUAGUUGGAUCGUUGAAUGCUUGAGCUUCCCUUGUACAACAAUCCUUGGCCAAAGUGAAGGGACGCAAGUGAGGAAGAUCUUCAGGUGGCACUGCGGACUGGAGAAUGAACAAAGCAGAGUGAUUGUAUUGAUUGUCUGCAUCUUCUCUUGGAGUGAGGUUGCUUGGAUCAUGGGGAUAAUAUCCUUGCUCGAUGAUUCUCCACAAAUUUGUUGAGAUGUGAUUCAAAUGAGACUUAAUAGAAAAUACCCAGUUAGCAAAGUCACCUUUCACAAGCUUAGGAGGAGGACCAACAGGGUUAAGACACGGUGUGGGAACGGAUCCUCCAUAGACCAUGGGGGGUGGAACUGAGGCAUAGGUUCCAGUCCCAUCCUUUUCGUGAGAUGAAGAAGGUCGCAUACCUUUAGCCGCUUCCUUAGAGGAAUUGGCCUCCGAAUCGGUGAUGGUGGGUUUAACCACUAACGCCGGUUCGGGUGGACUUUUAAAUCCCUCAAUUAACUCUUUAAGCAUGGUCUUGACUUCGUUCGUCAAGGACGUCUUGAGGGCGGCCAUAGCCGUAUUCAAGUCGUCCCUUGUGACCGAAGUCAAGUCCAUGGCCUCGGGUUGCCCAUGGGUAAUCCCCUCUUCGCCUUCCAUACUCUUCGGGUGGUGAAACCCUUAAUAAAGAGAUGUGGCUCUGAUACCAAUUGAAAGGAUCGAUAUGGUUGACUAGAGGGGGGUGAAUAGGCAACGACCACUUUUUAAAUAAUCUUAGCAAGUUAGGGUAAACAACAUGCGGGUUCACAAAUAUAACGACAAUGGGGUGAACCGUAAUGAAGCUAACAACGAGAGCUACUAAGACAAGUAAGAGAUAGACAACAACAUAAGCAUUCACAAAGGAAAGGUUAGAGAUAACCACAAGUGGAACCAAUGAAGACGAGGAUGUGUUACCGAAGUUCCUUCCCUUUGAUAGGAAGUACGUCUCCGUUGGAGCGGUGUGGAGGCACAAUGCUCCCAAAUAAGCCACUAAGGACAUCGUAUUCUCCUCACGCCCUCGCACGAUGCAAGGUACCGUGAUUCCACUAUAGGUGCCCUUGAAGGCGGCGACCGAACCUUUACAAACGAGGUUGGGGCAAACUCCACACAAAGCUUGGAGGCUCCCAACAAGACCACGAAGCUUCACCACAAUGGAAUGUGGCUUCGAGGUGACCUCAACCGUCUAGGAUGCUCAAACACCCAAGAGUAACAAUAUCCGCAAGGGAUUGGUGGGGGAAUCAACUUUUCUCUUGGUGGAAGUGUAGAUCUAAGCCUUCUCAACCAAUCCCUAAAGAAUCAACAAGAUUGAUUGGCUAGGGAGAGAGAUCGGACACUUUUGAGCUUAGGGAGCAACAAUGGAGCUUGGGAGGAUAAGAGAUAGGGUUCCACAGCUAGAAGAACCCCUUAUAUAGUGGGGGGGAAUCCAACCGUUUUGCCACUCACAGCCCGUGCCUGGCGGUACUACCGCUGGAUGCAGCGGUACUACCGCUAGCACUCCAGUGGUACUACCGUUGGCUGCAGCGGUACUACCGCUGGGCCCAUGGUAGUGCAUAAGCACUACCGGGACAACCACCACCAAGAAAGUCUUCGCAAAAAGGUCCGUCCAAGUACAACCGCUAGGAAGGCGGUACUAAGCUCCUGGAGCGGUACUACCGCUGACCAGGGGCGGUACUACCGCCAGCUAGCGGUACUACCGCUAGCACUCCAGCGGUACUACCGCUGAGGGACCAUUUGCAAAGAAGAGAGAAACACAAGGCGGGAGCCACUCCAAAGUUGCCGGCAAGGGGCAAAGGAGGUGAAGUGUGCGCGUGCAGGAUUGAUUCCACCCAAACCUUUCCACUACGGUUCCCCUCUUAAUAGUACGGCUUUCCUAUGACUCAAAUAAAGAGAAUCGUAGAGUACACCGUGCUUCUGUACCAUGAAAGAGGGGGCGAGUCGUCUUGUGUCGUUGACGUGUGUUAUCUGAAAUCUUAACACACACGGUUAGUCCUUUGCGGUACUGUCAUCAAUCACCAAAAGCAAGAGAGACGGAGAGGUAGAAGAGUUCUCCGGCAGGAGUGAGUAAUUCCUUCGUAGGCUCGCUGGUCAGUGAGGAGUUGGAUGAGAUUCAUCAUGUAAUCGAGUUAGUUUUGUUAGGGCUUGAUCCCUAGUAUACAUCAUGUUCUGAGAUUGAUGUUGCUAUGACUUUGCCAUGCUUAAUGCUUGUCACUUUGGGCCUGGGUGUCAUGAUUUCAGAUCUGAACCAUUUAUGUUAUCAUCAUUAUAUCUAUAUUCUAGAUCCGAUCUUGUAAGGUAUAGUCACCUUUUACGUGUUAUGAUCCAUAAACCCACGAGUGACAGUAUUCGGGAUACUUUCCGAUGAUGACCGUAGUUUGAGGAGUUCAUGUAUUCACUAGUGCUAAUGCUUUGUUUCGGUUCUCUAUUAAAAGGAGGCAUUAAUAUCCCUUAGUUUCUUAUGGACUUCACUGCCACGGGAGGAUAGGACAAAAUAUGGUAUACAAGUUCUUUCCAUAAGCAUGUAUGACUAUUUACGAAAUACGGGCCUACAUUAUAUUUAUGAACUUAAGCUAGUUUUGCAUCGCCCUAGGUUAUGACUGUCAUAUGAUGAAUAUCAUCCAACGAAUCCACCGAUCCAAUGCCUACGAAUUUCCUACAUACUGUUCUUACUAAGUUACUAUUGUUGAUGCUACUGUUACAACUGCUACAAAAUCAUUGCUAUCAUUGUUACCGUUACUGCUACUAUCAUCACUACUAUCAAAACUAUCAUAUUACGGUGCUGCUGAUAACUUUGCUGCAGAUUUUCAAUCUCCGGGUGUGGAUGAAAUGACAACUCAGUUGCUAAUACUUGCAAAUAUUCUUUGGCUUCCCUUGUGCCGAAUCUAUAAAUUUAGGUUGAAUACUCUACCCUCGAAAACUGUUGCGAUCCCCUAUACUUGUGCGUUAUUAUGGGGGCACGGUCACUUGUUUUGACCCAAUGUAGUGUUUACUAAGUUGGGCUUGGUUGACGAUCAAUUUAAUACCAUUUAGCACCCGUGUGGCCCUGGGCUAUUUGCACGCUUAAAUUCGUCGUACUGCACCUAUUUGGUUGAACAACGUCGCAUACUUUCCAAUUCGCAUCAACGUCGCACAGGAGCUAUUGGCCCCUUCGUGUUUCUAUCCAUUUCGACCGCGCCUCAACUGUUUAUUGCAGGUAGAGUCUAUGUAGCUAGCCAAGCUUGACCGGAAGGGCGAGGGAAGCAGAAGGUGGCGAGGCGUGGUGCGUGUAUGUAUAGGCUGCUUUGCUUUGCUGUAGUAUAAUGAACUUGCCUGCAUGUCCAUUUUUUUAAACACAGUACAACUCAUAUAAACGUGCAUGCAUUCACUUCUAUGAACGCAUACACGCAUAUCUUAUCUCUAUGAGCACCUCAGAGAGAUUGAGCCGGCAUAUCAUCUUGAUAUUUACGAAGUCAUCGUAAGUGCCUCGUCGUCGACGAAAACGUCCCCUUCCACUGAAUGUGCAUCGUCGAAAUUUUCGAAAUAAAUUUAGGAAAAUAAUACGAGCAUCAGGAUUUAAACCCUGAUGAACUGAGGCUGUCACUGUCAUGACCAUCCAACCACAUGUUGAUUCGCCUGCCUGCCCCUGUUUGUUACCAACUAAUGACCCCUAUAGCCAAGACCAAAACCGUCUUCUCACAUCGUUACCAACUAACAACAUACACGGAAGUGUCACAUAUGAAGAAAUCAUCAAGCCAAAAGGAACAUAAGAACAGUUGAGUAUUUAUAUACAAUAAAAUGAUACAUAGAGCAUACAAUAAUAUGUUUUAUUUUGUGGACAUAUUGUUUGUGUUGAAGUUAGGCAUUUUCAAUCAUUUGCUAUUAUUUAUGCGAUCAAUGAAUUUUCAGCAACUUAGUAGAUAUAGUUCAAUCCGAUGUACAUAUAUGUAAAAAAAAAGUCUAUGAAUUAAACAAAAACAUAUUUCGGUAAUCAUGUUAAGAGAAUGUUUUGUUCGGAAAACAUGUAAACAAUUCAAAUUUUUCUUGAAAAUUCAAACCUCUACAUGCACUCUAUUGGUUUAUUAUUUUUGGUAUAUGGUCUAAAACAUAUAAAAAUUAGCAUGAGGUCGUGUUUUGACCUCAUAAGAGUGUGUUCAAAUUUAGACUACAACUUUUCUAAAAAAAGUAUGCACAAACAUGCAUUCAUCAUUAUAUAUUUAUUUAUAUAUAUUUAUUAAUAUUCAUUUGUUCUCACAUGUCAAUAUAAUGUCCUAUCCACAUUGGUGCUUGGUGUCACUGUUCAUUGUACACCCCCGUCUAGUUGCGAUCUUAUCCGGCCUAGUAGUAGCCAUAAGCAGGAGUCCAUUCCGAGUGAGAGUUGUGGUUAUUUCCCAGGCCCAAGCCCGGCCCAAAGUACACAACGGGCGGAAAAUACGAUCAUGAGCCCGGUCUGAACACAAAGCCCUACCUGGUUCAGGUUUUUCGGGCCGUGGAGUCGGCCAAGAGGAAGGACCGGAGGCACGCGCGGGAUGCAAGGGGCGAGGCAGCUGCCGUCACCGCUAUCGCCGCCGCCGCGUAGCAAGAAGACACCAAUGCCUGGGUGAAGGCGACAACGAGGGAAGCCUUGUUGUACCUAGGGGUAAACCCUAGCCAGCACGGGCUUGUCGCCGUUGUUAUCGCGGUCACGGCCAGCACGGGCUUGUCAGCAUAUCCUCGGAUGAUGCUGCCGGAGUCACCGCACGCGGCCGAUUCCCGGCUUCCACGUCUAAACGUAAGGCGGCUGCUUCUCCAGGGAAUGCUUGCCGAAGGUGAGCAUCGUGGCCCCCCUCCACAUCGGUGCCGGUGACCAUCGACCUCAAUGCCACGCCGGUGGCAGGCGAGUCAUCGUUCGGAGGCAUGAGAAAACGGCAUGGUGCCGGCAUGUACUCUUGGGCGUUGGCAUAAAGGCCUUUUUAAUUAAAAUGUGCGGACAUAAAUGGGUCGCCCGCGUUAGGCGCACGACCAACCAAAAAAUAAAAACGGAUGGACGCGGAGCGGGCCACCGACCCAAAAGGACAAAAUCAUUGUCCGUUUGGAUCGACCGGUUGGAGUGCACGUCCUAUCAUAUAAAAAUAUUAUAUAAGUAUCAAAUACAAUGUGUGUUUCCACCUACCGUCAGCCUAUUUGGUGAUAGGGAUGCAUCGCGCAAACGUGCAUAAAUUUCCUACCGUUAGGACCUCGACGAUAGGAUGUUAUACCCUACCAUCAUGGACCUCGACGGUAAAAAAAAAAAAAAAGAUCAGAUCUUAAUUUUUUUAUAAACUAGGGUAAGAUCUCCAUCAACUUUUAUAAAAGGAUCAAAACACAAAAAUUUGCUACAACUAGAUGAGAUGGAUCAACGUGGUAAAAAGAGUUGUGGCUGUACGUCUGUUGAGUCUUUCAGUCUUGUCUGGUCUAGAGCUAACAGUUAAUAAAGAGAGCAAAGCAAGAAAGAGAGAUUUUAUGACGGCACUUGAGCCUCGGGCAGUGACUGCACAACCUCAAACCCCCUCUUUCACCGUCCAUUGAUUCAUCGCCAACACCUCCACACACAGAAUACGUACAUGAGCCAAGGUGCUCUUUUGGUUCCGUGCACACAUGCUCUUUGAUAAACAGUAAAAUACAAAAAAAAAAAGUUAAUAUUUCAAAAGAAAAAAUCUGAAUUUCUGUCACAAACUUUGAUGAAUGUUUUAAAAAAAAGAAAAACCAAUGCUCCAAACGUCAUUUCAAAGAAUUAACUCUUCUUUACCCACACCUCCAAUGUCCUUUCAUGACAAAAUAUGUAUGCAAUUGAAACAUUCAUCAAUAAUUAUCACGAGAAAUUUCAGCUUCUUAAAAAGAAAUACUACUACUUUUUAUUUAUUUUACUGUUCAUAUGGAGUAUGGGCAAAAAACAGCACUACUAUGAUGAACAGUAAACUGAAAAAAAAUGCAUAGCCAUUAAAAUGCUUGCUCAAGUAUGUGUAAAAUUCCAUAUUGAAAUUACAUUCCACAAAGUAUAAACGAAAAAAACAAAAGCAGAUCUUUAAAAUUUUCUUUGAGCUGAACUUUUUGUCUAGAGCUCCUUGAAUGACAUUUGCUCAUUUGUUGAUGCAAUUUUGCACAAUCCUAGGGAACCAGGACAAUAAAACUAACAAUUACCCAUAAAAUUAUCCAACAGCGAACACACUUUCAGCACAAGCCCACGAAUAUUCACCAAGACAAUAAUAAACUCAUCACCACAUCAACAAUGGAUCCAACUGAUGAUAUAUAUCAAUCCAAGUUGAUUAAGCCUUGGGGAUAAAGAGUGUAAACACACGCAUCAAUGUACAUCAAAGAGUGUCUACAGAAGGGAUCCUAUCUAUCAAAGAGAUGAGCUCCUUCCAUAACUACCCCCUCUUGAAAAGAAAUAUAAGAUUGUUCGUUCUUGAUCUUAUAUUUCUUUACACACUACAUAACUCCCAACAUAUAUAAGAUAGCAAAACAAGAAAGCUCAAAAGAUUCAGAAAAAACAUAUUUCACAUAACAAGAGUAACAAGCACUAGGAGGAUGGAUUAUAAGGUUUCCUACCAGCCCAGACCGAAUUCAGUCAAUUGAUACAUCAUAAUACAGUCAUCAAAUCUAUAGACUAAACUAACAAUUAAGGAUCAACAUCCAUACUAUAUCAUGCUCAGCACACGCACAAAAUGUUUCACCGAGCACUUAAAACACAUCCAUCUAACCAUCCACACAGCCCGCAAAAUGCUCCAGGCCUGCCGAGCAAAUCUUGCGGCAAAAUUGAGUCCACGCCUCCCUAUCAUCAACUAGCACAAAUCUUGGAAUCGCCGAACCAGAAAUAAAAUUACAGCAGGCACCCUCCUUUCACCACAACCACCCUGGAAGAAAACUCUGGCUCCGGGACAUGGAGGCCUCUGGAGGCCUAAUCAAACAUCAAACUGGAUUAGCAAUGCAGAAUCACAGAGCACUAUGAGUCUACCAUCUCGUCUUGCAAUUCGCUAGGGGCAAUCAGCCCUGGGAUGGCAAGCAUCCGUUGCCUUUCCUUUUCUCUUUGUACCGCAGCCUCUUCCGCAUACAGAUCCUUGUUAUCCUAAAUAACCAAUCCACAAGAGAACUUUUGUUAACAAAGCAUCAUAGGUUUCCAGAAAGGUCGGUUUUAUGUAUGAACAUUUUCUUGAUUAUUCCAUGAGGUUAGUUUUCAUCAAUCUUAUGACGGCAUAGCAAAAUUUACCUGGGCUGAGAACUCCUUUGAUUGCACCAGGAAGUCCCUAAUAUGGUUUUUGAAGCUUGGGAGGUCAUGUCUCGAACCAAGGAGCCCAUCAACAAACUUGGUCACCUGCGCAACAAAAUUUGCAAGGUUCAUGAUGGCAGCAAGUCAAUGACAGGAUAACUGUAUUAGGAUGAUCAUACCUCAGCUACCGUCAUGUUAGGAAAUGAUGCCCCAAGAAGUUUGAUUGUGUAGUCCCGUACAAACAAGGCAUUAGAUGGAUAUGAUACCGUGGAUGCAUCCCAUAGAGGUUCAGUUAGGCUGUCAACCUACAUAUAAUAUGAAACCUAAUUAAACAGACGCACACAUAUAAACACUAGGUGUCAUGAUAUUAAUCAUGCGCAAAAAACAUACCACGCAAAACAAGUGUUGAAGCACCAAAACAUGAAGUUUGAAUCCAGGUUUAUGAAAUGAAUCUGUGAGAACUGCAAAAAUCUCCUGCUCUAUAUUCAAAAAAUAUGUCUUGUAGAACUGAUUCGUGAAUUCUGAAGCCUGCGAGGCAACCGUAUCAAAGAGUUAGCUUCCAAAGAAUUACAUACAACAAAGAAAGGAUGGACCACGUGUUCUUGCCUGAAAAUUCUUCAGAAUUUCCAACAAUAGACUAAGGCCGGUCUCGGCAAUGUUUCUCUCUGUAUGUCUAAAUGCCCAGUUAAUCGAAUCAAUCACAAGCUUCAAUUGCUGAAACAAACAGUCCAAUAAUCAAAUUAAUGAGAAGGAAAGUGGGUUGCAGUACUAAUAGAUAACAUCAACAGGGCUAAUAUUAGUAAUUAAAAAAUUCACAAACCUGGCUGGAAAGCUGAAUUAAAGCUUUGAAGCAAUGAGUGCCGAUAGCACGAAGUAAAGAGAAAAACUUGAGGCGGUGCUCAGGAUAAUCUUCAAAGUUUUUAGUAAUCAUCUGGCCAGACCAAACAAUCAGUGAAAUCUCGAAGUGUAACUGAGUAUGAACAGUAAAAACUAAAGUUGUAAUUCCUACCUCAAGGGUACACUGGAAAACAGCCUCGAAUAUACGAGGCACAUCAUCAAGCAUUUCAGCUUUGUACCUUCAAUAUAAAUACAAAGAUUAGAAAUGAUGUACAAUAACAGCAGAGUAUUAAGUAUUAAUAAUAUAAACAACUGAAUAUGAAACCUAGAUGACUGACAGAAGAAUCCUCCUACAAGCUACCAUCCACUAAUUAGAGAACAUUUUACUUCCCCGGCUAGAGAAAAAAAAUGGGUAUCAAAUUCAAGACAAUACUUGUUUAUAAUUGUUGCAAACAGGGACAGGACUUCAGAUUCCCUUGCAUCAGGCACAUUUCUUGCAUAAUCACCAAGAAUAGGAUCCAUCAUUGGAGGAACAAACUGCUUCCCAAGGUGUGGUAGGUCUUCAGCUUUGUCCACAAAAGUCUCAAUCAAUUUCAAUGUUUCCCUCUUGAUAGAUCUGUUUUAAGUAUCAUAUCGUUAUUCAGUAAGACAGACAAAUGAAAACAGAAGGAUAGAUAUCAACAAUUAAUUAUACCUCAAGAGUUUUACAAAUGACGACUUUGAGGCAUAAGGCCCCCCUUCAGCAAUAGUGCUUGAUACAAGCUCGCUGUACAUUCUGAUAUAAAUAUAACACAAAGAAAGAUGCAUUAGAUUGUGAGAUAUUGCUCGUAACAUUGCAAAACCUCAAACUAUUACAACGAAAUGGGGAGGCACAUUUUGGACUAAUAUACAAGCAAAAUUUCGACUAAGGCUAAACCAGCACAAUAUUUUGACUAGAUUGACUUGCCCCGGCGUAAAAUUAUCAUGUACUCCCUCACGAAACGCUCUUAUAUUACUGUACAGAGAGAGUACUAGACUGCCCAAGUUUACAGGAGCGGGUGACACCAGGCAGGACCAGUCCAAUGGAAGAAGUUCUCCUUACUUCUCCAGGCCUAGCUCAAAACUUCAGAAGAUGCUAACCAGCACCCUAAUACUAUAAAACAUGUGUGGGAUGCUAAAGAAAAUACCUGUAAACUGUCAGCAUGUCGAGGAAGAUCAGUGAAAUUUGUGGGAAAAAGUGUGGUCCAAGCGAAGUCGCAACACUUGUGUUUGUCUGCAAUUGCAAAUAGCAAAAUCAUGUUAGUACCAAGGAGCAAUUGCAAACAUGAUAACAAGGAAACCCAAAAUCCAAACACCAUUAUCACCUUUAGCAACACACUACUAGUAGCAUAUUUGUGAGGAUGUCACUAAGAACAGCAUACCAUACUAGUGCUAAUUCAGUCUCUAUACAGGCUGGUUGGUAAAAACGUCAACUAAAAGCACUACAGUUUUCUAGGAUGAAGAACACUCUAAACUAGCUAACCUAUGAGGAGUUCAGAUAUCAAGUGUGUUUAUGGUCCAUUUGGAAAGUCCAGGUAACUAUUCUGUGCUUUACAUAAUUUUGUUUGCCUUGGCUAGCAACAAACCAAGGUUCGGGAGACUAAAGUUUUGGAGGAAUGACAUACAACUAUGUUUGGUCGUCUAACAAAUAUCAUUUCUUGAAGUAUACAACCACAAUCUUAUAGUGAAUUCACAUAAUAAAGUAAAGAACUUCAAAACACCAUAUAAACAGCCAACAUCAUUGCAGUUUACACUUAAAACCACAAUGAUCAAAUACAGCCUCGAUUAUUACCUGCAAGAUGUUAAGAACAGAUCUGAUAACAUCUUGGUUCUUGAGGAUAUCAAUGCUUUGGCCUGCCUGUCCAAUUAUUUCUGCCCAUUUCUGUCAAAUCAAAUCACAAGAUAAACAUUGUAAAUACUAUCCUUAAGGGAAAGCAUGAAGAAAGCAAAAAUUCAUGCUAGAACCAAACCUGAUUAGGAAGGCUCAUCAAUCUCUUCAGGUAUUCGUCCCUCUUAGUAUUGUCAGAUUCAGCUUGAAUCAUGUGACCGACCUGAACAGUGAGAACAAAGGCACAAAUAAUAUCAGAUUCGGCUUGAAUCAUGUGGCUGGGAUGAACAGUGAGCAAAAAAAGGUACAAAUGAUAGUACGAGUAACAGCCUAUCUUGGCUCAAUUUGUUCAACAUACCGAUUCAUAAAAGGUAUGAAUCUGAUGUGGCUCUAGAUCAAGAAUUGUCGUAGCAAGGUUGGUAAGCAGUUCGGAAACAAAUGGUUCGUUCUCUCCCACCUGGAAAACAGCAGGAAAUUAAAAAAAUGGGCACAUGACUGGUGAGUAUCGUAUAGUAUAAAUGUGAUGAUAUGUGUGUCUAAAUUCAGUUACCGACAUGCGUUUGAGUAAUACAUAAUUAGAAACAAAUCAGAAGUCAUCAAUUAACAUACAGAAUUGAAGACAAAGGCAAUGUGAUUUAAUGAAUCUACCUGUUGUGUCACAAACUUGCGCUUGCAUUUCUGAACAAUUUUCAGGAACGUAUCACAUGCCAUAUCCUGCAACAAACAUUGUGUCGCGUACAUUACAUACAGUAGGAUAGGAAAUGUAAAAGUUGAAGAGGUACUUAAAACUUGUGUGUAAAUGCAGAGCAAAGCACAACUAUGCACAGCAACAAAACAGAAGCAGCGGACUGUAGGUUACCACAAAUAUAUAAUAAUAUAUGUGUUCCACACUAGAAGAAUUUUCCCAUUCCAACUGAAGAAACUACAUGUAAAUGCAUCACUGACCUGAACCCCAGGAUGCAUCUCAUGCAUGAACUCAAAUAAUUUGUUGACUACUGUCUUCAGAAACUUCCAAUGAGCCCUGAGAAAUCUCGGGUACUGACCAACCACAUACCUAUUAAUGCAACAGUUGGAUCAGCAAAGAUAUUCUUUUGAUAAUUCCAAACAUGAGAGAAUUGGAGCAAAUGCGUACAUGAUGUUACUCGCAAUAACAGCUUUGUUGUCUUUGCCCUUCGUGAUUUCACAGAGAUUUAGCAAAUCACGAAUAACCAUCACCAAGAAUCUGUUCUCCUGCAAUAAUAGAUCCAGAGGAACCAUUUAGGAUUUACUGUUAAGUAAAGCUAGUAAAGUGCGAGUCCUCCACAAGCAUUUACCGGAACAAAAUGACUGAGGAUAAUAAAAAGUGUACAAACCUGUUCCUCCACCAUAGAACCAGAUAUUGAUCCAAUAGCCCAGCAUAGAGUAUUGAGGUUAUUCCAACUCCAAUCUUCUCCAUUCAAUUGCUUAGUCAAUUUCUUCAACAUCUGGAACAACAAAAGAAGUGUCAGAGUUGUGGCCUAAAUUCAAAAGGGCAGUAAAUAGAAAACAUAAGCAUGGCAACACAUGCAUAAACAAAAUAGAUAUUUGCUCCCUACAUACACAGACUGAACAGUCUCCGAUGAAUAAUCAUGUCCAUUGUCAUUAAUUGUAUUAGUGUUUUGGCUAGAUCUUUAUGUCAUUUCAACACAAAGAGAAAGGCUUGCACUUGGACCACAUACUACAGACCAGCUCACAGUAGUGUAUACUAUGUGUUGCAUAAUUUCUGAAACUAUAAUGAAAUAAUCCUGACAACAUGAAUAGCUUACCUGUUGCUCUGUAUCCUCAUGAUCAAGAUGGGACAAGUAAAUCAGCGUUUCCCUCAUAAUCUAGUAAGAAUUAAAAAAAGAAGUGUCACAUCAGUUUUAUCAACCUUAUAUUGGAGAAGGUCACCUCAUAAAGCACCACAGCAGCAUCGCAAUUUGUUACCAACCUUAUAUUGGACAAGGACAUCAUUAUCCUUCAUUGUUUCCCGUACAAUAUUGCCAUUUUCAUCUUCCACAAUCAAUACCUCCUCCGGCUUUGCCAUCCGACAAAUCAUCAACAUUCGUAACUUUGAUAGUGGACUUGCAUAAAGCUGCCUCCUUUGGUGAACAGCUGUACCAGUACCGUCAACUCCAGGAAUCAUCUGGGCCUACAAGUUAAGCAUUGAUGUGACCAGAAGGAUUUAUAUCUUGAUUACGAAAAGAGGAGUUCACAACACAAGAAACAGACAUAGAACAAAAUGCAGCACGUGGAUGGAAAUAUAUCACAAGAACAUAAGAAAAUAUCAGCUCUGUACGGAAUAACAAGACGUUUUUGAUAUUUUAAUAUGGACUGCAUACAGACUAAAAGGAGUGAACAAACACACUAAAACGUGUCUAUAUUACAUUCGGUUUAGAAAAAAGUUGGAACACCUUAUAAUUCAAAAUGGAGUAAGUUUCAUGAUAGUUUUUUGACAAAAUGCUUAAAUUAGAAAGCUGGAUAUAUCACGUGGACAGCUUUCCCAUUGAUAACAGAAACAAAUCAAAAGCACCUGAAGCCCAAUGAUGCUUACAGCUGGUAUUGCAGGCUCCAUUUGAUUGUGUGCUUCAAAAAGUUCCAACACAAAUACAUUCCAGUAAUCCAAACACACCUGCAAUUAACCAUAAUGAGAUUUUACACCAUGUGAAUGUAGAUCCAUGCUAAAUCAGGUCUAAAUUUAUUACCUUAAAAACUUCGGUGUCAUCAACAUAUGAUAUUCCAAUGAGGUACUCGAGACCAACAAGUAAUGCAGCUCUAUUUUCUGCAGAUGCCUCCAGUAUACGUAUAUGAUUCUGCACGGACCAGAAAGAAAGAGAUUACAACAAAACAAUGUAUCACACCAAAAAGAGAUUUCUCUCUGUUGUACUAUCAUUAUUAUAUUACCAACUAGCAUGUCUCUAUUUGUAGAUCAUUAUAAAUUACCAACUAGCAUGUCUCUAUUUGUAGAUCAUAGAGUUCAAACGUGCAAAACAAUGACCAAUACUGUAAUAAAAAUCCAUUUUGUGUUACAGCUGGGAACGUGGUGAAAACAGAAUUAGGAUCGUUACAUCAUCUAAGAAUAUUUUAUGAAGAACAAAAUCUCUCAUAUACUAGACCAAUUAAUAGGGCACAUCCAUAAUGUGAUGGAUCUGACCUUGAAGAAGGCAGUGAAGAAGAGUGCCAGAUUUUGUAUGAAUGCUUGUUCUUCAUUGGAACCAUUAGCAUAUGCAUUGGGAAUUGUUGCAGGAGGAAGAAUAGCCUAAACAUUGGAGAGAGAAAUCCAUUAGUAAGUGUUCAAACGGACAUCUUUAGAAAGAAAAAAACAUAGUUUUUUCCCUGAAAUACAUCAUUCACCUGCAGCUGCAACAUGAAAAAUGUGUACAUCUUCACAUACUGCAUGUUAUAAAAAUCACCAAAAUGAAGAGCAGCAACCUGCAAAGAAAAAGUCAAAACAAUGUUUUGUCAAUGUUGGGCUCACUUUUCUGCCACUAUGAUGUAACAGAACACAGAGCAAACUAAUAAUCAAACUAUAAGACAGGAAGUCAUUGCAUUACUCCAACAGAAAAGUUGGAAACAACACAAAACUAAACACACCUAACAAUAUGUUUUCUUUACCUCUGUCAGGCACUGAAGUGUAAGGUUCCGAUAGGCAGCCAUAGGAAAGAACUUCAGCAGCGUCUCCAGCUAAAAACCAUCAAGGGGAAAAUUGAGACAGAUUUUCAAAGAUAACACUGAGAUGAAAAUUCUGGGGGAAAGUAGAAAUAAGCGAAGUACCAAUGGCGACUCAAAGAUGAAUCCAACAGGAAUCCAUGAUAAGAAAGCAUGAAGCGUAGCUAAUGUAGCACGGAUCAGCUCCGAACUUUGUGUUGCAGAUAGGACAUACAAACACAACUCGUGGAUGAGUCGAAAUUCACUGUUUCACAAGAAGGAAAAUUAGGACAGAACAACUAAAAAUAGUGGCCCAGCUAAGGAGGAAAGAAGAGAUACACAAAAAAACCGAGUACUUCUACUCAUCAAAUAAAAGCUGUUAGGCAGACACAAAUGAUAGAUGGCCAUAAAUCAUACCUGUUGAGUGAGGACUUGAGUUCUUUAAUCUUCUGUUGAGUCAUUUCACCUCUUGAAAAAUCAAAAAUUUCUUCACUUAAAAGCUGCAAAUUACUUCAUGGUUAGUAGUUGUUCUGACACAUCAAUUAAGCAGAUACGAAUAGAAACACAGCUUGCCUUCAAUAUAGCCAUGCAGUUUUCACAAAUGGUUUCACUGCUCUUUGCUGCUGCAACAAGGUCAGGAAUGAAGGAUGUCCACCUGGCUGGCCACUCAUGCUUCAGAACCUAUUAUGUUGGCCACAAUUCAGAACAAGUGGUUGUCAAAUGCAUUUAUUCGGGUAAUGGAAAAAAGCGAAUGGGUUAAAUGGAUCAAGAAGUAUUUACCUGCACCAAUAUAAUGUUGAGUUUAUUAACAUAAAGCCUCUCUUGUCGAAAGGAAACCUCGUUACUUGAGAGCUGGAGGAGUGCCAAAAGUGAACGGCAAAAGGAGUACAUGAAUCAGAUUUAUUUCAUGAGAAGUGACAAAGGUUUGCCAUAUUUAACAAAGAAGUUAAUCCUUGCCUGAACAAUCACAUCAGAUAUGUAAUUCUUUAUGCCAUCACGUUGUUCAACUGGCAACGCAUUCCACCUGUACUUGAUAACACUUUCAAGUACCUAAAAUUUAUUUGAAAAUAAUCAAUACAUGACAAAACCUAAACACAAUAGAGCAUAUGUCGCAUGCAACUGCAUGCACCUACAUAAUCAUAUCAUAUGGAUCCAAUAACAUCAACUCAACACAGCAAAUGAAAGUCAAACAACAAAGUAUGGAGAUCAUUAUAAUGUCUUGUGUUCCCCUAAAGGUUCACCAUCAUGAAUCAUCACUGCCCUAAAGGUUCAAAAUUAUCACUGCUCUAAUAGCAAACACUACAACCAUACAUGUCCAUUUUAAAUAUUUACGGUAGACUACCCGACAUGCACAAAAAGGACACCGACCAUCAUCACACUAUACAAGGUUUAGUACCAACAGCAUACAUUUGUCAGUAUUAACAACACGACACAGGGUUAAUGUUCGUAGUUAUUUUGUCCAUCUUGUGCACAGAUUUUUGUACGGAAACAGAAAAGGGCAUGGUAAUGUGAACUGAAAUGUGAGUAAUUAAAUUUCAUGCAAAGAUGGCACCCAGAACGAUUAGAUAUAAUAGACAGUAUGCUUUGGAAUGACAGGAGAAAAAUAAACACCACUGGCUACAUAACUUGCUUAUGGACCAUCAACAUUUAUCCUGGCCCAUUUCAUCCCCUCUACACAUGGCAUCAUGGCAGUUUCAAGUCAAAAAUAAAAAUGAUGGAAGAAUUGCGCAAAUAUUCAAAGGACGACUAUCCUGGCCAGGUUUUAAAUAGGCCCAAAAGAGGCAGAAGGGAAACAGGAGAAGGCAUGGCUCCUAUUCGAAAAAACAAGCUAAAGUAUGUUUCUACACUGGCAGACAAACCAGGUAUCUUUUGUAUCAUCCUAUCUUGGUACUAAUAAUGUAACGAACUAUAUAAACUUUCUUUAUCUUCUAUAGGAAAACCAAUAGAAUGCAUUUUAUUCAUAUAGUGAGAUGUGCAACAGCUGGCAGUAACUAGCCAAUCAAAUUAGUAUCGUACAAAAUUGCUAGUACAUGACGGCAAUGGCGCUUGAGCUCACAGGCCAGAGCAGAAUCCUAUUAGACAUGCAUCUUUUCUACACCAUGGGAUUUUUAUGUAGCAUACUGCAUGUUCAAAUGUGUUGAACCCUCAAACUCAAAGCCAGGCGACUGGGUAUUUUAACUGCUUAUUAAAACCGGUUACAAGUUGGACAAGAAGAAUGUUAGCAGUGAUAUUUCCUAAUAUAACCAGUGAACGGCAGUAGCAAGUAUAAUUAAUGGCUGGUGCUGGGAGUGCUGAGGGCAAAUCAUGCAUGAUCUAAUGCAAGGCCAGCUGCAGCGACGGCAUCGAUUCAGUUGCAAACUAGCGUCUACACAUUUGAAAUAAGGCACUGAGGAGCAGAGACUUACUUGGAGGGCAAAGAACUUGGUGUUGAGGUUCUGGGAGUGCUGCAGGAUGUGCACCACUUGCAGCCACAUGUCAGGGUUGUUUUGCAGAUCCCGCAGUAUCAGAUCAGCGGCGCUCCUCUGAAACAUAGCAGCCCAUUUCAAUCAGCAGAGUUAGAAGCAGGCACAUAAACCACAGCAGCCCAUUUCAAUCAGCAGAGUUAGAAGCAGGCACAUAAACCACAGCAGUAGGAGCAGAUAAACCACAGCAGCAGUAGCAUGCAAAGCAAUCGGGUUUCCAGCCUUCCAGGUUGGAGAAGUGGAAUUAGUACAAGACACAACAAACAUGGAGCGGCAAGCGUGAGGCAUCCUGCGGGUGUAUUGAGGCAUUUCGGGCUGAUGAUCGGCGCUAAGCCUCCUCCACCCACCAAACCCUAUCUUACCGCUGCCGUCCGCCCCCGAAGUAACCUCGAGCGCUGCUCUUGCGAGUGGACAAACAACUACUAGUAUAGCAUCUAGCGCGUGGACCGGAAACCCUAGGUGACGUCUGGCAGGCAGGAGCCGAGCGAAACAGACUAACAAACGCGUGCGGUGGGGGGGAAGGGGAAGGGGAGCGGGCGGCGGGGUUGGAGGCGGUUACCUCCUCCUUAGAUCCGGUGCCGUAGAAGGCGGCGACGGUGGCGUCGAGCACGGGGACAUCGAUGGGCUGGCUCAGAUCCCUCAGCUUCUCCGCCAUGGCGGCGGGCGGGGGGUGGGGGAGCACCGGUGGCGGUUAGCCCCCUGGGUGUUUCUCUAUUUGCGAUCGGGUCCCUCCAUCCCUUCCUAUUUGCGCCGCUGGCCCGAUUCAAAAAUGGAGGGUGGGGAUCGAGCUUCCUCCCUCGGUCACUGCACUCUAUCCUUUUUCUUUUUUUCUUCUUUUUUUAUUGAAAAUGGACCAAUUUUUUUAGGGAGACUGAAAAUGGAUCUAUGGAUUUAUCUUGGAGGAUACCUUCUAGGCUCGAGGCCUCGACGCUCGCCCGAGGCUCGUGUGCUUGGAUCAUCCCCGGCAUUGCAUUGAUCUUGGUGUGUGUGUUUUUGAACUUCGCGUUGAGUAUAAGUCGUGUUGUACGGGUUGUAUGUAGUGUGUGGAUUUUUAGGUGAAGGUGCUCGGAUUGCUCGCGCUAUCUCAGAGUUGUCCUUUGGCUUUGUUUGUGCGUGAGAGCGUGUGGUUGACCUUUGUCGUGUUUUGAGGGUCGGACAAAAAAGUCGUCCGAGUCGGUCAAAAGGUGCAUUUAUCACUCUCCCGCCAAAUCUGGUGGCUUGCACCUCAAAUUUUUUAGAGGAGGUUACUUUGUCGUGGACUCGACGUCCAAGCUAGUAGCAACCGUACUAAAACCAUGCCCCGAGGUCGAAGACGGUUUCAUAUCACAUGUGGAUGGUGUUGACAAGCCGGUCUUUUUUGUAGAGUGUAAGAUGAGUUAUUUGUAAACGGACCUCUCGUCUGCCUAGCCCGCACUCACUCACGCUUAGCCCCUUAUGCUCUCUUCUAUUUUCCAUCCCUCCAUCUAUCCGCAAACUCAAUUCAAAAUGGAUGUUGGGGAUGGAACCUCCUCGCUCAAUGCAUUAUAUAACUUAUUCCUUUGUUUUCCCUUUUCUCUUUCUUUUGAACAUAUGGGUUUAUCUCGAAAACCUUUCAGGCUCAAGUUUUUAAUACUCGGUCGUGCAUGUGCUAAGAUUUUCUCGGCAUUGAUUUCGAUAUGUUUUCUGAACUUCACCUUGAUCGUGUUGCACCGGUUGUGCAAAGGUGUGUGUGUAUUUACGUGAAAGUGGUCGGACUGCUCGCAUUAUUGGAGAGUUAUGUGUCUUUCAUCAUGCAUGAGAGCAACAUGUUUGUUCAAUCAUGUUUACAAAAAGUCGGAAUAACCUCCCCAGCCAGUUAGGUGGUGCAUUUAUCACCCUCGCGCCAAGCUCCGUGACAUACCCCCAUCAAAAUUUGAAGGAGUUACUUUAUCAUGGACUUCUGCGUUCAAGUUAGUGGCAUCCAUGUCUUGAGGUUGACGACGGUUUUCGUAUCAAACAUGGAUGGUGUCGACAAAUCAAUCUUUUGUGGAGUAUAAGAUUAUCCGUAUUAAACUAAACAAAUGGCACGGUAGAAGUAUUUAUUUAUUAAAAAAUAUCAUACUAGCCAAUUUUAAUUCAAACAUUUAUCAUGUGUCUCGUCUUAGUUUGUAACCAAUCUUUGCACAUAACCUUAAUUUUUGGGCAUAGUGGUUUUCAAAGUCUAAGUCCAUACAUAAUUAAAUUAAUGUGGAGUUCAAUGAAAAUUAUGUUAUGUAUCAUUAAAUCUGGUCAACCGCAUGUUAGUACACCAAUGACGUCCCUCUGUCCAUUAACCACCCCUGCUUUCUGCUCUUUCCGUUCGAGUCUCACCUCACCCUCUAACACAAACAAAAUGAAAAGGGUGGGGAUGGAACCUCUUUGGUGUCGUUCACCCCAUGGACAUUACCAUGGAUCCUACACCAACACCCUAAGUGCCAGGUGAAAGGAUCGAUAUGGUUGACCAGAGGAGGGUGAAUAGGCAGCUACCGAUUUUUAGCUCUCCUUAACAAAUUAGGGUUAGCAACAAAAGGUUCUCUAGAUAAACACCUAGGUGAGCAACCUAUAUGAUGCUAACAACAACAACAACUAAUGCAAGUGAGAAAUACACCACAACAAUAGUAAGGUCAAAGUAAAGGUAAGAGAUAACCAUAAGUAAAAUCGGUGAAGACGAUGUUGUGUUACCGAAGUUCCUUCCCUUUGACACGAAGUACGUCUCCAUUGGAGCGGUGUCGAGGCACAAUGCUCCCCAAGAAGCCACUAGGGCCACUGUAUUCUCCUCACGCCCUCACACAAUGCGAGAUGUCGUGACUCCACUAGUGGUGCCCUUGAGGUGGCAACCAGACCUUUACAAACAAGAUUGGGGCAAUAUCCACACAAAGCUUGGAGGCUCCCAACAAGACCACGGAGUUUCACCACAAUGGAAUGUCGCUCCGAGGUGACAUCAACCGUCUAGGAUGCUCAAACACCCAAGAGUAACAAGAUCUGCAAGGGAUUAGUGGGGGAAUCAAAUUUCUCUUAGUGGAAGUGUAGAUCAGGGCCUUCUCAACCAAUCCCUAGGAAAUCAACAAGUUUGAUUGGCUAGGGAGAAAGAUGGGCGAAAAUGAGCUUUGGAUCAACAAUGGAGCUUGGGGAGGUAAGAGGUGGCCUUCUUGGGGAAUAAGACCCCUUCAUAUAGUGGGGAAAGAAUCCAACCGUUACCCCCACUCACAGCCUGAGCAGAGCGGUACUACCGCUGCUAGGAGAGGUACUACCCCAGGGUAUGUUCACCAACCACGGUAGUAAAAAAUUACUUUCGUGCCUACCACCGCUAAGGCUGCGGUUGGGCAAAAGUCUGAGAGAGAGGUAGUAAAAAAACACUACCGCCCAGAGAGCGGUACUGCCGCUGGCACCUGCGGUACUAUCGCUGGCACUUUGCACGGACAGUGAGAAACAAGUUGGAGCUCCAUUGAAGCGAGGGAAAGGUGAUGCAAUAGAACUGUGUACGUGUUGAUUCCACCCUAACCUUUCCGAAGCGGACCCCCUCUUAAUAGUAUGGCUUUCCUACGAGUCAAAUCCACCACAGAGAAACAUAGAAAGCAACCGUCUUUGGUAGACUCCGAGGGGCACCGAAUCGUCUUGUGCCUAGUCAUGAAUUAUCUGAAAUGCUCAAUGAACACGAUUAGUCCGCACAGGCAUUGUCAUCAAUCACCAAAACCACUUAGGGAGAAAUAUGCCCUAACAAUCUUCCCCUUUUUUGGUGGAUUGAUGACAAUACAUGAUUUGCACAAGAAGAUAUAAAAAAAUAACAUAUGCAAACCCAAACUCUAUAAACUAGAGACAAGCUCCCCCUGGAUGUGUGCAUACUUAGAGAAAAGCCAUGGACUGCAAAGCACACAACCUCGGAAUAGCACUCCCCCUACUUUUUACAGACGAGGCAUUCCUUGCAACAAACAGAUUAAUCACUAAGCAUGGAAGCAAGGCAUAACAUGUGAGCAUGAAGAUAAGGGCACAAAAUAAAUAGACUCACAAGCUACAAACAUAUUGGAUAAUAAUGAGACAAUAAAGAGAGAGGAGUGAUAGCAUAUGUCUCACACCAUAUGAUAGCGAAAGUCUUCAGGUCUCACACACAAAAUAAAACCAACCAAACCAAAGCGACAAUGACGGUUCAACGAACAAAGAAACGAAAGUACUCGCAAAUCCUACACUCUCUCCCCUUUGGCAUCGGGACACCAAAAAGGCAGAGAGGACACCAAAAAGGCAGGGAAGACACCUACGACACAGGUGGUAGCUCGAGAUGCAUAGAUAUCAGCCAUCGGACUCCUCAUCAGACUCCUCAUCAGCCUCCUUAUCACACUCAUCAGACUCAUCCAACUGAAGAUUCUUCUUGUCCAUCCAAGCCGCUUCAGGAGUAAUGUCUUGCUCAGACCCACUGGAGAUGUGCACAUCGAGCUUCCUCAGAAUCAGCUUGUCGCGCUGACGACUCUCCUUUUGAGCAACAUGGGUCAUAUACUGCCCCUUUUGCAUGCAUGCAAAACAAGGUCUUCAUCCGGUCCUUGAACUUCUUGGCCCAAGAUGGCUCGGCAGAGGAAGGCGCAUGUGUCUCUCGAAUGCCCUCAUCCCGAGCCCCAGCAUCAUCCUCAUACUCAUCAAUAUCUAUGUUGGUAGCAGCAGGUGAUGUGGUAGUGUUGGCCCACUUGUUCUUCUGACGCAGCUUAAUAAUCUCAUGACGGAUCCAACCGGGAGCCUAAAACAUCAUAUAUGGAUAGGUCAUCCACCACCUCUCCCGGAUCAAGUAAACAGAUAAGGUCCAUAUAUGGGAACCUUUCGGUGAAACACAGUUGACUGAAGCUCACUCCACAUGACGUGAGACACAUCAAGCGGUACAUGAGCACGAGCCCGCCCUUUCUGACACAUCGAAAGCAUAUCCACCAGAUAUGAACGCACCUAGUCCUCGUUGCCAACACGCAAAAAGAGAGUGUUGUGGAAGAUUCAGUGCAUGACAUCAAGGAAUGGGUUCAGCACAUGAGAGAUCUCACGAGUUGGGGACACUUUCUCAAUAAAGUAGGGCGACAACUUUUCCUUAGGUGUAGCAGAUGGCUUUGCGUGCGGGCGCAAACCAACUGGUUCUCAAGCCCCUCAUCAGAAUGUGCAGAAGGUCCAUAAACUUCUUCCAAGUAACAGACAUCUUCUCCCCACUAGUCAUCCAAGUCAUAGUGUGCUCCAUCAGAGUGGAAGUGAAUGGUAACAAAGAACUGAGCCACAAUCUCAGGAUCGCAGUCAAGCUAAAACGAGAUGAUAUCCUCGAUCCCGAGCUUCUCCACAAUGUCCACAGGCUCACCAAAAUAUGUCGGAUCCUUCUUGAGAUGAUCCAUGUCAAUCCACUGAACUAGUACAUAGAUGUUCUUCUUGGUCUUGAUCACAUCUUGAUAGAUAACAUCCUAUUGCUUGGACCAUAAAAGUUCACAACCCUUGAGAUGAACCCUCUCGAUGACGCAGGGGUCGCGCUUCCGGCGAACCAGAAACUCAGCUUGCGACAUACCAUCCCAACUGAUAGUGUGCUCUGAGCCCUUGUUUGCGGGCCUCUUGAAGUUGCGCUUCGGAGCCUGGGAUCCCUCAGGUGCAUCUUGAUUGCGAAGGCGCUUGGAAGCGAUAUCCCAAGAAGGGUCCGUCCACCUGGAGCCACCACCUAUGACACACAAUGCAAACACAAGAAAACGACAAAAGAAGUCAAGGCAAAGACCAAAGCAAACCAGAGAACCCCGGAGAAAUGAGAAUUAGUAGGACAUAACAUGUGAAUUCACGAUCUAGUGGUAGUACCGCAGUUCAACUGAUAGUAAAAUUUUACUACCGCACUGACCGCGGUAGUACCCCUCCAGGGUGUGGUAGUACCGUAGUUCAGGCGGUAGUAAAAAUUUACUACCGCGCUGACCGCGGUAGUACUUCUCCAGGGGAGGUAGUAUCGUAGUUCAGGCGGCAGUAAAAAUUUACUACCGCGCUGAGUGCGGUAGUACCGCUCCAGGGUGCGGUAGUACCAUAGUGCAUGCGGUAGUAAAACUUUACUACCGCACCCACUGCGGUAGUACCGCUCCAGGAGGAGCAGUAGUACCGCACGGGGCGAAAACUGCAAGAUCUGACACUCCAAUCUUCAGAUCCAGUACUACCGUAGACCAAAACAAACAUGUUGUAUCCUACUAAGUAGCAAAUCUACCACACAAGAACUCCAACCAUCCAUUCAUGUAAAGAUUGUGCCACAAAACAAUGAAACCUAACUCAUAUGCCCCCAACCCUAGAUCCAACAAAAUCGAGAGAGAGAGAAGAGAACUAGGGGCGAUACCGGGUUCCAUGGCCCGAGGGAGAGGAAGGAUAUGACCCCACCAAACGGAAUGGGAUGGGAGUGGCCGGAGAAGGAGAUUUGCGAGUCCUUUCGGUGAUGUUUCUUGAGAAGAGAGAGAGACACACACACACACACGAGAUGAAUGGGUACGAAUGGGUAUGGGGGAGAAGAAACUGCCCCUGCCCUAAUAUAACUCCUCGCAGCCCGACGACGGGGUAGUACCGCGAUCAUUACGGUAGUAAAAUUUUACUACCGCUCGCUGAGCGGUAGUACCGUUCGUCUAGCGACAAUAAAAAAUUACUGCUGCUCCGGAUGCGGUAGUACCGUGCCCUCUCCAGCGGUAGUACCGUGGCUAUCCACGGUAGUACCGCUCAGGAAAAAAAACGGUUGAUCUUUGCAAGAAAAUAGAGGAAACACAGGACAACUCCAAGCGAAGACAAGCAAAGCAAAUCACGACACGACCAACAAACACCGAUACGAAUCUUGUGAUGAAGAGAGGACGGUGGCCGGAGCCACCUAUGUUUGAGACAUUUAGUAUGACACCGAAAAGAAUUAUCCUUGGGUUCAUGACCAUAGCUCGACUUUGAAGCACAAGUGCCAUCAACAAUGGCUAAUGUGAAAGACGUGAUCGAUUUAUGCAUAAUGGGGGGAGGGAAAGUUCGUUGAGAGAACAACACUCCCCCUAUGUCCAUGCCUACACCUAGAGCAAGAUAUAAUGAUGAGUGUGGUGUGGUGUGCCUAGCUUCAAUCAACAUUGAUCGUAUCAAUGAUAUUUAGCUCAUGCCUUAACUCGCGAAACCUUGCUUAAUCUAGAGGCUUUGUGAAAAUAUCCGCAAGUUGCUCUUGUGUGCUGAUGAAGAGGACCUCAAUAUCUCCAUGCUUGAUAUGAAUGAAAUGAUGCCGAAUAUCAAUAUGCUUGGUCUUGCUAUGUUGCACCGGAUUGAGAGAUAUCUUGAUAGCACUUUGUCACAAGUGACACUGUAAUCCUUUAAAGUUUGCCUCAUCCAUAGUAAUUGAGCACAACAACUUGCGGCAGCUACAUACUCAGCCUCGAUGGAAGAAAGUGACACACAGUUUUGCUUCUUCGAAGACCAACUUACCAAAGAGCGACCAAUGAAUUGGCAUCCUCAAAAGGUUGACUUCCUCCCGACACAGUCUCCAACCCAAUCUGAGUCAGAGUAACCUACUAGAUUAAAGCUUGCUCCUUUGGGGUACCAUAAGCCAAAGUUUGGGGUAUGAGCCAAAUAUCAAAAGAUUCGUUUGACUGCUGCAUAGUAACUUUCCUUUGGUGCGGAUCGAAACCGUGCAUAAAUUCCCAAACUCAACAUGAUAUCUGGUCUAGAUGCACAAAGGUAAAGCAAGGAUCCAAUCAUGGAGCGAUAUACCUUUUGAUCCACUGAUUUACCAUUGGGAUCAUUGUCAAGCUUGCAUUUGGUUGGCAUGGGAAACUUGACUGGCUUGAUGUCCUCUAGAUAGAACCUCUUGAGCAUGUAUUAAGUGUACUUGGCUUGUUUGAUGAACGUUCCUUCUCUUCCUUGUUUGAUUUCGAACCCAAGAAAGAACUUCAACCCUCCCAUCAUAGACAUCUCAAACUUCUCGGUCAUUAGUGCAACAAACUCUUCAUUGAAAGAUUUGUUAGGAGAACCAAAAAUAAUAUCGUCAACAUAUAGUUGGCAUAUGAACAAAUCCCCUUUGACCUUUUUGGUAAAAGGGUGGGAUCAAUUUUCCCAAUCUCAAACCCACGAUCUUGCAACAACUCGGUAAGGUACUCAUACCACACACGUGGGGCUUAUUUAAGGCCGUAGAGCGCCUUCUUGAGUUUGUAUACAUGAGUGGGGAGCUUGGGAUCCUCGAAUCCCGGGGUUGUUUGACAUAUACCAACUCAUUUAAGGGACCAUUAAGAAAUGCACUCUUCACAUCCAUUUGUUGCAAUUUGAAAUCAUGAUGAGAAGCAAAUGCAAGCAGCAUGCGAAUAGAUUCAAGAUGAGCAACAGGGGGAAAGGUUUCACCGUAGUCGUUACCCUCGACUUGGGAGUAGCCUUGAGCCACCAGUCUUGCCUUGUUACGAACAACAACACCAUUUGCAUCUUGCUUGUUCUUUAAGAUCCAUUUGGUUCCAAUGACAUUAUGUUCCUCCGUUGGCCUUGGCACUAACUGUUGGAAAUAUGCCCUAGAGGCAAUGAUAAAAUAGUUAUUAUUAUAUUUCCUGUUUCAAGAUAAUCGUUUAUUAUCCAUGCUAUAAUUGUAUUGAAUGAAAACAUAGAUACAUGUGUGGAUACAUAGACAAAACAAUGUCCCUAGCAAGCCUCUAGUUGGCUAGCCAAUUGGUCAAGGAUGGUCAAGGUUUUCUGACCAUACGCAAGUGUUGUCACUUGAUAACUAGAUCACGUCAUUAGGAGAAUCAUGUGAUGGACUAGACCCAAACUAUAAACAUAGCAUGUGAUCGUGUUAUUUUGUUGCUAUUGUUUUCUGCGUGUCAAGUAUUUGUUCCUAUGACCAUGAGAUCAUAUAACUCACUCACACCGGAGGAAUACCUUGUGUGUAUCAAACGUCGCAACGUGACUGGGUGACUAUAAAGGUGCUCUACAGGUAUCUCCAUAGGUGUCCGUUGAGUUAGUAUGGAUCAAGACUGGGAUUUGUCACUCCGUGUGACGAAGAGGUAUAUCUCGGGGCCCACUCGGUAAUACAACAUCACAAACAAGACUUGCAAGCAAUGUGACUAAGUGUAAGUCACAGGAUCUUGUGUUACGGAACGAGUAAAGAGACUUGCCAAUAACGAGAUUGAAAUAGGUAUACGGAUACCGACUAUCGAAUCUCGGGCAAGUAACAUACCGAAGGACAAAGGGAAUGACAUACGGGAUUAUACGAAUCCUUGGCACUGAGGUUCAAACGAUAAGAUCUUCGUAGAAUAUGUAGGAUCCAAUAUGGGCAUCCAGUUCCCGCUAUUGGAUAUUGACCGAGGAGUCUCUCGGGUCACCGAUAAGAUCUUCGGAGAAUAUGUAGGAUCCAAUAUGGGCGUCCAGGUCCCGCUAUUGGAUAUUGACCGAGGAGUGUCUCGAGUCAUGUCUACAUAGUUCUCGAACCCGCAGGGUCUGCACACUUAAGGUUCGAUGAUGUUUUAGUAUAGUUGAGUUAUAUAUGUGUGGUUAUCGAAUGUUGUUCGGAGUCCCGGAUGAGAUCACCGACGUCACGAGGGUUUCCAUAAUGGUCCGAAAACGAAGAUUGAUAUAUAGGAUGGUUUCAUUUGGUCACCGGAAAGUUUCGGGCAUUACCGGCAGUGUACCGGGAGUGACGAAUGGGUUCCGGGUAUUCACCGGGAGGGGCCAACCCACCCGGGAGUGAGCUGGUGAGGCCAGCCCAAUAGGGCCAUGGCAUCACAAGUGGAAAAACACCAAAGGAAAAAAAAGAGGAAAGAGGGAGGUGGGAAGGAAGGAGUGAACUCCUCCCCCCAAACCGAAUUGGCGUGGGAGUCCACCUCCUCCCUUCGGCCGGCGCACCUUGGCGCUCUUUGAGCCCCAAGGCUAGCCCCUCCCCUCCUCCUAUAUAUACUGGUGGUUUUAGGGCUUUUGAGACACAACUUUUCCACGUGCAACUCAAACAUAUACCGCGUAGUUUUACCUCUAGAUCGGAUUUCUACGGAGCUCGGGCGGAGGCGUGCAGGAGUAGACCAUCACCAUCACUGGAGCACUGUCACGCUGCCGGGGAACUCAUUUACUUCUCCGCCUCUCUUGCUGGAUCAAGAAGGCCGAGAUCGUCAUCGAGGUGUACGUGCGUUGAGCACGGAGGUGUCGUCCGUUCGGCGCUAGAUCGGAACGGAUCGUGGGACGAUGGUGAUUUGAAUCAUGAAGUUGUACCACUACAUCAACCGCAUUUCUUAAUGCUUCCCGCUUAGAGAUCUACAAGGGUACGUAGAUCUAAUCUCCUCUCGUAGAUGGACAUCACCAUGAUAGGUCUUCGUGUGCGUAGGGAUUUUUUUGUUUCCCAUGUAACGUUCCCCAACAGUGGCAUCAUGAGCUAGGUUCAUGCGUAGAUGUUAUCUCGAGUAGAACACAAAAGGUUUUGUGGGCGUUGAUGUUCGAUUUGCUGCCCUCCUUACUCUUUUCUCGAUUCAGCGGUAUUGUUGGAUUGAAGCGGCCCAGACCGACAUUACUCGUACGCUUACGAGAGACUGGUUUCAUCGACUAACAUGCAACUUGUUGCAUAAAGAUGACUGGCGGGUGCCUGUUUCUUCAACUUUAGUUGAAUUGGUUUUGACCGAGGCAGUCCUUGGAGAGAGGUUAAAUAGCAAUUUGCACAUCUCCGUUGUAGUUUUUGUGUAAGUAAGAUGCGAUCAUACUAGAUACCCAUAGCAGCCACGUAAAACAUGCAACAACAAAUUAGAGGACGUCUAACUUGUUUUUGCAGGGUAUGCUUGUGAUAUGAUAUGGCCAAUGACGUGAUGUGAUAUAUUGGAUGUAUGAGAUGAUCAUGUUGUAAUAGUUAAUACCGACUUGCACGUCGAUGCUAGGGCAACCGGCAUGAGCCAUAGGGUUGUCUUUAAACUAACGUUUGUGUUUGCAUAUGUGUUUACUAUAUUGCUAGGUCGUAGUUUUAGUAGUAAUAGCAUAGAUAUCACGACAACCUCGAUGGCGGCACGAUGAUGGAGAUCAUGAUGAUGGAGAUCAUGGUGUGGCUUCGGUGACAAGAAGAUCAUGCCGGUGCUUUGGUGAUGGAGAUCAAGAAGCACAAGAUGAUGGCCAUAUCAUGUCACUUAUAAAUUGCAUGUGAUGUUAAUCCUUUUAUGCACCUUAUUUUGCUUGGAACGGCGGUAGCAUUAUAAGGUGAUCUCUCACUAAAAUUUCAAGAUGAAAUUGUGUUCUCCCCGACUAUGCACCGUUGCGACAGUUCGUCGUUUCGUGACACCACGUGACGAUCGGGUGUGAUAGACUCAACGUUCACAUACAAUGGGGUGCAAAACAGUUGCACACGCAGAACACUCGGGUUAAACUUGAUGAGCCUAGCAUGUGCAGACAUGGCCUCGAAACACAUGAGACCGAAAGGUCGAGCAGGAAUCGUAUAGUUGAUAUGAUUAGCAUAGAGAUGCUUACCACUGAAACUAUUCUCAACUCACGUGAUGAUCGGACUUGAGUUAGUGAAUUUGGAUCAUGUACCACUCAAAUGACUAGAGAGAUGUACUGUUUGAGUGGGAGUUUAUUAGUAAUUUGAUUAGUUAAACUCUAAUUAUCUUAAACGCAGUAGCAACCCUGAAUUUUAAUACAUUCCUAGAGAAAGUUAAGUUGAAAGAUGAUGGAAGCAACUUUGUAGACUGGGCUCGUAAUCUAAAGCUGCUCCUGCAAGCUGGGAAGAAGGAUUAUGGCCUUAAUGCUGCGCUAGGAGAUGAACCACCCGCCGCGGCUGGCCAAGAUGUUAAGAACGCCUGGUUAUCACGCAAGGAGGACUACUCAGUAGUUCAAUGUGCAGUUUUGUAUGGCUUAGAGGCGGGACUUCAAUGUCGCUUUUAGCGUCAUGGAGCAUUUGAGAUGUUCCAGGAGUUGAAGUUUAUCUUUCAGAAGAAUGCCCGGAUCGAGAGGUAUGAGACCUCCGAUAAAUUCUAUGCUUGCAAGAUGGAGGAGAAUUCAUUUGUAAGUGAACAUGUGCUCAAAAUGUGUGGGUACUCAAACCGUCUAGUUGAGUUGGGGAUCGAACUCCUGCAAGAGGCUAUCAUUGACAGAAUUCUUCAAUCAUUUCCACCAAGCUACAAGAGCUUCGUGUUGAACUAUAACAUGCAAGGGAUGAACAAGUCACCCGACGAGUUAUUCGCGAUGCUGAAAGUCGUAGAGUCAGAACUCCGGAAAGAGCAUCAAGUGUUGAUGGUGAAUAAGACCACUAGUUUCAAGAGNNNNNNNNNNNNNNNNNNNNNNNNNNNNNNNNNNNNNNNNNNNNNNNNNNNNNNNNNNNNNNNNNNNNNNNNNNNNNNNNNNNNNNNNNNNNNNNNNNNNGGAGAGGAUCUGCACAACCGUGCCUCGUCUCGCCGUGCCGCCCUAUCGUGUCGUGCCCAGCCACGCUCACCCUGCCUCUUCUCGCAUCCGUCGUGUUGUCUCCGCUUGCUGUGCCGAGCCGCUUAUGAGAAAGGCCACUGAAAGGCGCAAACAGAGGUCAAGACGCCCCAGCUUUUCACACCGGCUGAUGAGGGUAAUGACCGGAGCAACUUCCAGCGAUUCUUUGCAAUAGAUGCCUCGGCACAUUUCAAUCCUCACCGCCGUGGCUGUCUGGUAGUUUGUGACGAUGAUGAACGACGACCCGGGAGGAGGAAGGCCGCCUUUGUAGUGCAGCGACCUGAGCCAAAGUGGUGUGCAGCUCCACGCCGGUGGCAUUGUGGCAGCAGAUCAUGACGAACCUGCGUACGCAGGGGCUGGUCACCGCGAGCUCCUUGACGCUCGCGCACUCCUCCAGCGUCAGGUCGGCGAGGCGCGGGCAGCUCGAGAGCAGCUGCUGCAACAUCCCAUCUCGGGUCGUGACUAUCGCGAGGUGGAGCGUCUCCAGGGACACCAUGUCCAUGGUGCGUCGCAGGUCGAGCUCCCACCAAGCCAGGCACAGGCGGCGGAGUGUACGCUAGCUCAAGGUUUGGUUGGCGUCCCGAUGUACCUCUAGGGUUCGUCUCGGUCCAGCGAUCCGUGGAACGGGCAGAGCAGGAGCAGGGCGGAAUUACCGUACCUGAGCUUGUCGUCAAGGUCCUCGAGGCAAUCCAAGCCUGUCUGUAAUCUCCAUUAGACAAUGCAUUUUUAUCUUGAAACUAUGGUGAUUGCAAUCAUAGCUUGGUCAAAACCAACUGUUAAAAUGAAACAAUACAUGCUGAGUUGAUAGAAAAAAACCCUAUAAUAAACAAAUCCUACUGAUAAAAAAUGAUGCAUUCAUGGCGGUGGUGGCAACAAUGCGUCUAUAGAUGCACACAACAAAUAUUUUGUUUGCAAUUUUACUGUUAUUCUGUUUUUCGGUUGGACCUAGAAUGUGAUGGCACAAGAGGGAAUUGGGAAUUGGGAAGUCAUAUUAACUAGAUAUGACAAUAUACUACAACCACCCCCAUAUACUUUGUCUGGAUAUUAUAGUCAUAAAAUGAUUCGCUUCACCUAGCCAAUUGGUCUAUCUAAAUAUCAAGCCACUCCUUUGAUCUCUCAUCUCUCUCAUUGCUUACCGAUCCAACCACUCAAAUUCGAAGAUACGUUUUGGGAGAGGUUUGACUAUGAGGAAUCUUUUAAAUCACAAGUGCAAGGAAUUCACUACCAAGCAACCUCAUCUAGAUUGGCUAGGUGUGGUUGUCAGCCUUCAACGUGUGACGGAACCAAGGAGUUUGUAUGGACUUGGAGAUCGCACAUGUCAUGAAGAUCUAACUCAGGGGAGGCAACCGAGAGCAAUACAGUACACACUUAAUUACCUCCCAGCGGUCGGUCCCCCUUCCAGCGCGCGGCUCGCGCUAGCGCAGGACCGCCGCUGCCGCCGGCUGAUCUCCCUCCUCCGUCCACCUCCGGCCCAGCCAAUUGCAGAUCCGGAACCCCGCCAGCGUCCUCUCUCCAUCCAUCCCGAAGCCCGGCGCCGUCUUCACCGGCUCUCUCCUCGCGGCGGAUUUCGAGUCGGGGUCUCCCCUCUUCCUGCCCCGCUCCCGUGCGGCCGCGCCGGGCCGCACCGGGGCGCCCCUGCGGGCUCGAGCCGGUCCCUCCACGCCUCUCUCUCCGCUCGCCGCCGCCGGAGGCGUCGUCGGG